UUUUCUCAGUUGCUAUGUAGGUUUUUGUAUAAUGGAAUUCCCUUAUCCAAUUCAACCACCAAUAAACCGAACUGAGUUUUUGUUCCUCUGCUGUUGAUCUCUAUCUGAACUUUUUACUGCUCUCGAUUUUUUUCUUAUCCUCUUUUUUUUUCUGAUAACUGCCACUUGUUUCUGUCUCCCCAACCCACUGAUCUCUUCUGGUAAUGAUUUCCAUCCAUAAGUUCAGACCGGACAAUAGGAGGAGAUUCAUUGAUCAAUAUGUUUCCUUCUCACCAAACAAUUACGGUUUCGACUCGCCUUUAGGACCAGAUUAAUAGGGUAAGUUCCUCUUUCUUUUCGUAUCAUCUGUACAUGCGAGAAAAUCAGUCACAGUGAUAUUUAAUUAGGUAGGAGAAUUUUGUUCUGGUGUAAUAGAUUUUGUUUGGAAGAUUAUAACCUUCCAGGCAUGGGAGAUCUCUUUUGUUCGUCUGUAAUACUCUUGACAGUAGCGCUAUCGUUUGUCCAAAUCAUGUAUUUUCUUUAUUACUUCUUUUAUGUUAUCUGUUGUGAUCUGAUGAA
Brassica rapa (field mustard) is the source of this 558-nucleotide long non-coding RNA. RefSeq lists it as uncharacterized. The record is from RefSeq and is a predicted model, not a curated record. NCBI's taxonomy places the organism in Eukaryota, Viridiplantae, Streptophyta, Magnoliopsida, Brassicales, Brassicaceae.